GCCUUACCUUAUACCUGAAACCAUCCUCAGGAACCAUGUCUACCAGAAAGAUGUACUUGGCACAUUGGAGGAGACCAGACAAACUCACUUUACAGUGUGGGAACAUCCUCCUGAAAGACAGAAGGUUUGGUGAUUAUCAUCUCUGUUCCAAUUUCAUUGAAAGUCUUCCAGAGGUCAGUGUCUUCCAGAGUCAUCCUGAUGCUUCCCUGGAGAUAGGCAUCAGGGCAGGCAGCCAUGGAGGCAGGAGGUGGACCGCUGAAGUUAGACUUCAGCUCUGGAACAAAGACAAAUGAUGUUUUUCGAACCAGGAAAAGUUGUAGCAGCAUAUUGAGGCAAUAUAUGGAGAAGAUAUCAGCUUCUAUCAAGAAAAAUAAGACUGCAGCAUCCAAAAUGUCAUAGGUGAGUGCUACAAAAAUCACAGUACUAAUGUAGACCAUGUAAAACUGCAAUUUGUAAUUUAUUGUUUUUUAUUCAUACAAAGUAUAUGACAUUUUAAUGAAAUACUGGACUGGGAAUCUGUAUCAGACGGUUAACCAUUGCUAAACAACUUUGAUCUGCAUCAGGGACAAAAUAAUCCUUAUUUAGACAUCCCUAUUCCUGAACACCAUGAUUAUGAUUAUUUUAAGCCAGUAUUAAUUAUAAAACAAACUGUCCAGUUACACAACACUUAAUGUAAAAUUUAAGCCUGUGUUGGCAUGCCCCCUCUUUGCUUCUAAGGCCUGUGGUAUUUCUGACCUAGGAAACAAUUAACAGCAAGACAUGGGGAAAAAAUGGGUUCUGAAAGAUGGGAGAACCAGUUUAAGUAAAUCACACGCCAUUCAAAGAAGCCCUAAUGAGGGGAAGGAAAGGCUUCCAGACAGAUCCUGUGGACGAGCUGGUCUUGUAGCAGGUGGUAAGGAGGAAUUGGGGUAAACUUUAUCUCUAGGUACACAUAAUAGGCAGCCUCAUUAGUGUUCAGUUCUGUCCAUGACUUGUAACAAACCAGCAGACAAGCUGCCAAGAACUGAUGAAAGAUAUUUUUUUGUUUGAUAGAAGCAUCCUUUUACAGAGAGCACAUGUCCACUCAGCAGGAAAACUGAGGCAGGCCGAAGCGCUCUGAAGUUACUGACGCGGUGCAGAUGGUGCUCGGGCGGAGAACGGACUAUAAUCAGAAAGCAUGUGGCCCAUAGCUCAGGCCACAUACUCGUGUGUGAAACAAAAACAGAGAUGACAGUAUCAGGAUGGAGCUAAACAAAUGAGAUGGCUCCAGCCACUCCUGCUGGAGGAAAGAUGGAGCUGGGCGACCCUAAUAGGAUUCAAGGAUUUUUAUUGUCAUACCAGCUCACAUUUACAUGUUAAGGAAUGAAAUUCGGACUCAAGUCCCGGUUAAGAAGCCUAAUACUUAAUAAAACUAAGUCUACAGACAACUCCAGAUUGUCAGAUGACAUUUUCAAAGCCAGUGGAGAGGAACCCAACAAAGCCAAAUCCUGGGGAGCUAAGUAGGGACUACAUGUGACGUGAACAGACUGCUUUUCACCGAUUGGCCAUGGGGAGAGAGGAAAUUAGAAGGUUUUCAUUGAGACGGUGCAGGUAAAAGUUAAUAAAACUCAAGAGCAACUGCAAUAAUAUUAAGGACCACGGUGGCCGGAGCAGGUCAAACAUGUAAUUUUACCAUUUACAGAUCAUAAACCAUGCCUGAAGGCUGACAGAAAAGAAAAAGGAUGAAUCACCUUUCUGAAUUACAUGCAGGCACAGUGCUGUAUGUAAUAACACCCUAAACCAGCUGAUCACACAUAAAAUCAGCUGUUCAGAGGUACAAACAUUUCCCCCAAAUCACACAAAACAAAACCACCAUAAAACAACGUGUUUGGUUCGGAAAUUUAUUUACAGUCCUUAAGCGAACCAGCGUCUGCCGGAGGUUCAGCCGUUGGGGGGGUCAGUGGAAACAUAACAGUUACCGUACCAAGUAGAGCGAAAGCAAGUGGAGCAGAGCCGCGUCGACUAAAACGAGCCAGUGGAAAAUGGGCAAAAGUCUUCUGAGAAAAACCACAACUUUUAUUUUAAACUUUCCUAUAAAAAAAAAAUUUGAAUUCUCAGUUCAAAUGGGUUGCUUAGUUAUAAACUGUUGCCCUAAGUUAUGGUCUGGUCUGAGGUCCUUUCAGACAGAUGUCUACAAAAACACUCCUAAGAAAAAUAUGGGACUAAUGCAUGUCUGAUCGGAAUAUUUGUUAUUGUCAAAAUGAUGGAAUCGAGCAGAGUUUUGGGAAGGUUUUACCCUUUCAAUGCACGGAUUAUGAAAAGCCUCUAACAAGAGAAGAACAAGCACGAUGGGGGUGGGGGGGUGCUCAUAUAGAAAGACAUGUCUAAAGCAGGAGAGUUGUUCUUCAUCAGAGUACCAUCCAGCAAAUCUCUUUAGGGAAAGCAGAGCCACGGGUUUACACAGAUUAUGCUGCAACCAAACAGCUAAAGCAGAUUUGUAAGACUUUUACUGCAAUAAUUUUAAGCAUCUUUUCCCUCCCAUAUUCAGUCGGGCAUGGAAAAAUGUUCCCGCUGCUUGAAAAACUGUGACAGCUUUGGCAUGGAUGCAACAACACAUCAUGAGUGAAUCAGAUUCAGAUUAAAAUACAAAGCAAAAAAGAGGAAAGAAUCCUUUUAAGAAUGAGAACUGACUUUUUUUGUAGAUCAUUAAGAUAAACAUUUGAAAUGACGAUGUGCUGCGUUAUUGGCAGCAGAGAACGAGAAAACAUCCCAGCAGUUUAUGACCCAUAUGUAUAAGCUUCUAGGUCAGGCUCACAACAACACUUUCAGUGUGGCUGUUACUGAUUAAAGACCAACAUUUAGCCAUUUUCAUAAACAGUAAGGCAGUUAAAAUCAGGAUAAAGGUAAAACAGAUGUAGGGAGCUAGUUGAAAGAAAACUAGAUUUUCUACAGUAUUCAUAAAAUUAUCAUUGCAAUAUUCAGCAACAGUGUCCCAGUUAGAUAUAUCUUUCUUUUUGGGUCCUCGUCCACUAUGUGAGCCAAAUGAAGUUGAGGCGUUCAACAGGCGUCACAGCUUUCUAACAUCACAGGAAGUGAGCUUUAUAAGACUUAGCUAUUUCUUAGCUAUUUCCGCUGGAGCCGAGAUCGGUUACCAUGCAACGGUGGCACAUACCUGGAGAAUCAGAAGUUCGCAGGUGGCUUUUCCAUCCAUUCUCAAUUACUUGCCAACUUUAUGAGAAGCUUGACAGAGCAACAAAUCUUGCUGGGAUAAGACCAGAAGAUUUACUAUACCAACCGAUGGCAUGUCUGUAGCACGCAACUUAAGUAAGAAAAACCCACAGAGGUUUUCCAAAUAAGAUAAAUUUGUCCUUUUUUUGUUGCGUUCCAGUCAACUGUCAAAGUCCUUCAUUUUUCCCUUUUUGCCAAAGUUGGAGAAGUUAACCGUUGUAGAGUUUGUCACGGACACGUGACGAAUGAAGCUCCCCUUCUUCUACUUGCUGCUCCAAAGAAGACUACACCAAGCAAUCUUCCCUUUUGUCGGUACUGUAGAAAUUGCCUGGGCAGGAUAAAGUAGGAUCCUUGGGGUCAUUUAGAAUCACCAUUCAUUUAACCCAAUGUGUUUUAAAUUGAAUGUUGCAUGUAAUGCUUUGUGGAAGUUAUGCGGAACCGUAUGAUGGCUGUUUAAUAUUGUUGGACUCCGAAAAGCGGCAGCACAGUACAGUUGGAUGCCGGAGCGCUGACUCAGUUGGAGUAUUUUUUAUGCAGAUUGAGGCUACGACCUGAGCCUCAUGUUCGUCUCCAUUGUUCCAUCGUUUACGGGCCUUUGUGUAUUUCCACGGAGUUCCCGCUAUGGGGGUUUUAUGACUGUAUGCUGGAGUAGCUGUUAGCAGGUACAGAACUAAGCGACUCCUGAAGGCGCUGCCUGUGUGGAAACCCAUUGCCUCCCACUGAUCUUUCUUUAUAUAUUCCAAGUGAAUCUGAAGCUUUGAUCCAGUCCCACAGUCCAUAAACUGCUAGUUUAAUCUCCA
Molecule: long non-coding RNA, 3986 nt
Organism: Girardinichthys multiradiatus
Lineage: Eukaryota; Metazoa; Chordata; Actinopteri; Cyprinodontiformes; Goodeidae
Exons: 3
Source: RefSeq, a predicted model, not a curated record